This 580-nucleotide long non-coding RNA is filed under the name Equus caballus (horse). RNAcentral describes it as "lncRNA (ENSECAG00000037714.3)". Lineage: Eukaryota; Metazoa; Chordata; Mammalia; Perissodactyla; Equidae. The record is from RNAcentral.
CGAGGACGCCGAGGGAGGUGGAGGAGGAGGCCGGGCUCGCGGGCGUGUGAGAGCUGCCGGACGCCUCGAGUGGGAGCUCAGCAGCCCCUCCCAUGGAAUCCUCGCUGUCUCCCAGUGUCUACACCACCCUGAACACGCGCAGUGACGCAGAAGGUCUUCUUGGGUCUUCCUCCAUCGGCAGGAAAGUGUGUUGCCCACAUCCUUGACUCUCCACGUCUGGUCGCCUGGAUGUGGACCCACCCUCCUGCUGCCGCUGGUACUCAGAGCCCCCUCAGAUGAUCGGUGAUGGGGCAGGGGAGGGCUGGAAGCCAGGGCCCCCAUUGCCACCCCCCACCCGGCUUGUCUGGGCACCCAACUCAAGUGAUCUGCGCACCUACUGUGUGCCGGGCACCGUGCCGAGAGCGUCUGCGGCCCCUCCCUGUACCCUCACAACCGCCUGUGAAGGAGGCUCAUCAGCUCUGCCUUCAGACGGGGAAACUGAGGAUCCGGGAGGUUAAGUCAGCGCCCCAAGGUCGCCCACCUGACCCUGAGGAGCCCUGAAGGGGACGCACGUCCCCUCCCCACUCUGCCCCGUCUGCAG